AGCAAAGUAAGCUAAUCCAAGCUACCGGGCCCAUACCCCGUCUUAUGUAGGUUAAAGUCCUACCUUUGCUU
This 71-nucleotide transfer RNA is filed under the name Sphyraena pinguis (red barracuda). RNAcentral describes it as "tRNA-Met". It matches the Rfam family "tRNA". Rfam says of the family: Transfer RNA (tRNA) molecules are approximately 80 nucleotides in length. Their secondary structure includes four short double-helical elements and three loops (D, anti-codon, and T loops). Lineage: Eukaryota; Metazoa; Chordata; Actinopteri; Sphyraenidae. The record is from RNAcentral.